AACGCACAUUGCGCCCCUUGGUAUUCCGAGGGGCAUGCCUGUUCGAGCGUCAUUAUGACCACUCAAGCCUAGCUUGGUAUUGGGGUUCGUGGUACCACGGCCUCUAAAAUCAGUGGCGGUGCCAUCUGGCUCUAAGCGUAGUAAUUUUUCUCGCUACAGGGUCUGGUGGUUGCUUGCCAAAACCUCUCAACUCUUAUGGUUGACCUCGGAUCAGGUAGGGAUACCCGCUGAACUUAA
Molecule: unclassified non-coding RNA, 237 nt
Filed under: uncultured fungus
Lineage: Eukaryota; Fungi
Description: sequence contains ITS2
Rfam family: 5.8S ribosomal RNA (bases 1-52)
Source: RNAcentral